UACGGGGGGGGCAAGCGUUGUUCGGAAUUACUGGGUGUAAAGGGUUCGUAGGCGGUGCGGCAAGUUGGGAGUGAAAUCUCUGGGCUUAACCCAGAGGCUGCUUUCAAAACUGCUGUGCUUGAGUGUGAGAGAGGCUCGUGGAAUUGCAGGUGUAGCGGUGAAAUGCGUAGAUAUCUGCAGGAACACCCGUGGCGAAAGCGGCGAGCUGGAUCACUACUGACGCUGAGGAACGAAAGCUAGGGGAGCAAACAGG
RNAcentral lists this ribosomal RNA (253 nucleotides) under uncultured bacterium. Its description in RNAcentral is "partial 16S ribosomal RNA". It matches the Rfam family "Bacterial small subunit ribosomal RNA", at positions 524 to 776 of the family's 1533-position model. The record is from RNAcentral.